RNAcentral lists this ribosomal RNA (253 nucleotides) under uncultured bacterium. RNAcentral's name for it is "partial 16S ribosomal RNA". It matches the Rfam family "Bacterial small subunit ribosomal RNA", at positions 524 to 776 of the family's 1533-position model. The record is from RNAcentral.
GACGAACCACCCAAACGUUAUUCGGAAUUACUGGGCUUAAAGGGUGCGUAGGCGGCGCGGAAAGUCAGAUGUGAAAUCCCUCGGCUCAACCGAGGAACUGCGUUUGAAACUACCGUGCUUGAGUAAGACAGAGGUAAGCGGAACUUCGGGUGGAGCGGUGAAAUGCGUUGAUAUCCGAAGGAACACCGGUGGCGAAAGCGGCUUACUGGGUCUUUACUGACGCUGAUGCACGAAAGCUAGGGGAGCAAACGGG